This 410-nucleotide ribosomal RNA is filed under the name uncultured bacterium. Its description in RNAcentral is "bacterial SSU rRNA". It matches the Rfam family "Bacterial small subunit ribosomal RNA", at positions 29 to 416 of the family's 1533-position model. The record is from RNAcentral.
AACGAACGCUGGCGGCGUGGAUAAGACAUGCAAGUCGAACGCUGAUUUCAGGGUAGCAAUAUUCUGGAGUCGGAGUGGCGCAAGGGUGCGUAACACGUGGGUAAUUUGCCGUGAAGCCUGGGAUAACUUGCUGAAAGGCGAGCUAAUACCGGAUGUGAUUAUCGGGAGGCAUCUCCUGAACCUUAAAGUUGGGGACCGUAAGGCCUGACACUUCACGAUAAGCCCGCGGCCUAUCAGCUAGUUGGUGAGGUAACGGCUCACCAAGGCUAAGACGGGUAGCUGGUCUGAGAGGACGACCAGCCACACUGGAACUGAGACACGGUCCAGACACCUACGGGUGGCAGCAGUCGAGAAUUUUUCACAAUGGGCGAAAGCCUGAUGGAGCGACGCCGCGUGGGGGAGUGAAUGGC